Molecule: non-coding RNA, 478 nt
Filed under: Salinivibrio sp. KP-1
Lineage: Bacteria; Pseudomonadati; Pseudomonadota; Gammaproteobacteria; Vibrionales; Vibrionaceae
Description: Bacterial small subunit ribosomal RNA
Rfam family: Bacterial small subunit ribosomal RNA
Source: Rfam by way of RNAcentral
CAGCUCGUGUUGUGAAAUGUUGGGUUAAGUCCCGCAACGAGCGCAACCCUUAUCCUUGUUUGCCAGCACAUAAUGGUGGGAACUCCAGGGAGACUGCCGGUGAUAAACCGGAGGAAGGUGGGGACGACGUCAAGUCAUCAUGGCCCUUACGAGUAGGGCUACACACGUGCUACAAUGGCAGAUACAGAGGGCAGCGAAGCUGCGAAGUGGAGCGAAUCCCUUAAAGUUUGUCGUAGUCCGGAUUGGAGUCUGCAACUCGACUCCAUGAAGUCGGAAUCGCUAGUAAUCGUGGAUCAGAAUGCCACGGUGAAUACGUUCCCGGGCCUUGUACACACCGCCCGUCACACCAUGGGAGUGGGCUGCACCAGAAGUAGAUAGCUUAACCUUCGGGAGGGCGUUUACCACGGUGUGGUUCAUGACUGGGGUGAAGUCGUAACAAGGUAGCCCUAGGGGAACCUGGGGCUGGAUCACCUCCUUA